RNAcentral lists this ribosomal RNA (301 nucleotides) under uncultured Sedimentibacter sp. RNAcentral describes it as "bacterial SSU rRNA". It matches the Rfam family "Bacterial small subunit ribosomal RNA", at positions 338 to 657 of the family's 1533-position model. Lineage: Bacteria; Bacillati; Bacillota; Tissierellia. The record is from RNAcentral.
CCUACGGGGGGCAGCAGUGGGGAAUAUUGCACAAUGGAGGAAACUCUGAUGCAGCGACGCCGCGUGAGUGAAGAAGGUCUUCGGAUCGUAAAACUCUGUCCUUGGUGAAGAAAAGGACGGUAGCCAAGGAGGAAGCCCCGGCUAACUACGUGCCAGCAGCCGCGGUAAUACGUAGGGGGCGAGCGUUGUCCGGAUUUACUGGGCGUAAAGGGUGAGUAGGCGGUUGUAUAUGUCAGGUGUAAAAGGCUAUGGCUUAACCAUGGUUAGCACUUGAAACUGUGCAACUUGAGUGCAGGAGAGG